CGUGGCGAACGGGUGAGUAACACGUGGGCAACCUGCCCCGAGACUUCGGGAUAACGCUUCGAAAGAGGUGCUAAUACCGAAUACGAACGCCGUGGGCAUCCACGGUGUUGGAAAGUUUUUCGGUCUGGGAUGGGCCCGCGGCCUAUCAGCUUGUUGGUGAGGUAAUGGCUCACCAAGGCGACGACGGGUAGCCGGCCUGAGAGGGGCGAACCGGGCCCACACUGGGACUGAGACACGGCCCAGACUCCUACGGGAGGCAGCAGUGGGGAAUAUUGCGCAAUGGCGAAAGCCUGACGCAGCAACGCCGCGUGGGGGAUGAAGGCCUUCGGGUUGUAAACCUCUUUCAGCAGGGAAGAAGCGAAAGUGACGGUACCUGCAGAAGAAGCACCGGCUAACUACGUG
RNAcentral lists this ribosomal RNA (402 nucleotides) under uncultured bacterium. RNAcentral's name for it is "bacterial SSU rRNA". It matches the Rfam family "Bacterial small subunit ribosomal RNA", at positions 94 to 507 of the family's 1533-position model. The record is from RNAcentral.